CGUGAAUGGAUUUUUGUUGCUUUUUUAAAAUUUAUUUAUGAAAACCUUUCCAUAUAUGAUAGCAGUUACAAUCGAAUCUACUUGGGCCAGGGCUAUUUAUGGGCCGGGCUACUUUAUAUGUAGAUAUUCAUAUUGUAUGCUUAUGUGUAUAUAAUGAUUUGUGAGCCAAAGAAUUUAAUCUGUCCUGGACUUGCACAGACAAUAAAAAAAAGUUUAAUAAGCCAGCGACGGAUUCUUAACAGUUUUCGGCGACAAUAAAAAAGACCUUGCAAAACCAUCUCAGUAUUUUUUUUUUUUCCUGAACGGAACCUGUAGGUUGAAUGUAGGACCAGCCUUCAGUAGAUUUUAUAAUGCUUCAGAAGUUAACUUUGGUAGUUCUAAAUCUAGCGAUAAAAUCGUGAUAAGGCAUACUUUUUUAAAAAGAUAAAAACUAUUAAAGUAGCAAUAAGUUCCUCGAAACUUCUAGUGAUAGCACGGAUGCAUACGUAUGCAAGAAGCUGCAUGAUUAUUGCACUUGGUUUGUGAGUUGUGACAAACUUAAUUUGAGCACACUGGUUCAUUUGCCAGAUUUUUAAAUUGUUACUUUACAAAAAUUAAAAAAGAUAUUUGAGACAGACACUAAAAAAUCUUUUACAGCCAGUAACUUGUCGAAGCCCCUGAAUUGGCCAGUGGAAAAUUCCGGAACUGUAUACCAUAACCAAGGUCGACGUCAAGGAAACUGCGUACCGCACGGUGCGUCAGCUCGAGCUGUUGUAUACACUUGGCUCGAUCGCGAUCGACGUGCCAGCAUGGAUUAUGACAACAAUGUUAUGCUAUGUGACUGGUGAUUGUUACCGAAAAUUCGAGGUCUGCGCAUCAAAUAUCUUGUAUUUUCACUGCUAAAGAGCACCCAUCAAUUCAGAUAUUAAAACCCAAUCGACAGUUGUUCAGCAAUGCCAUUUCAAGAUCAUUUGAUGUUGCAGUUUAGACAGUUACAAAAGGCUUGAUGUUAGAAGAAAACACUUUCUGCAAGAGCCCUAGUACUGUGAAUUCUUCUCGGUAAUCAUUUACAUUUUGAUCUGAACCUCUGCUGCCACUGUGUCAGGAGUGGACAAACUGUACAGAAAAGACACCAGCAGCAGCCAGAAAGUCAGAGGCCAGUGCCCAGUAUACUUCAGAAAUAAGUUUUGUGAGAUAAGCUGAAGUAAGCAACAUGGCAUUUGGUUCAUUUGUGUACAUGGUGAUCAUCUCAAUCUACAUUUUAUGCUUUGUAAUACUUGGAUUUGUGGUUUUCUUGAGGGAGCCAAUGUGCAAGUUUUGCAGACAUCUAAGAGGUUACAAUAUGUAUCAUCCAUACAGCAGCUAUAGUUUAGAACUUGGGCUUUAUGGAUUUGAGACCUAAGACAUAUAACUUAUUUAAGUUAAAAUCGUUCCUAUAUUUAGUCAAUUCAGUCAUUCAGGGACCAUAAUUAAUGGAACAAUCCUGGAGUAGCAGAAGUGUGAUACCUGCAGUAGUGCAUCAGCUACACAGUUACGCUAUAUGCCAAUAUCAUUGCUAAGAUUAAGCUGCCUGUGUUUCAUAAAAGAAACCUUUGAGAGGCUAGAGAAGAAAUUUCUGUAUUCCCAUAUUAAAGUUGAUGUGCAGCAAUAUUUCUUGAAGAAAUUGUCAUGGGUAGAAAAUUGGUAGUAAAAUCAUAAAUGUUUUUAUGGUUUUCUUAAAAAUUUAUAUAACUUUGAACAUUUCAAAAUUCUACUGUGGUAGAAAAUUAAUUGUGCAAUUAAAUUGUAUUGAUUUUGUGCUAAUUAAAUAAUCAUUACUUACAUAACCAAUUUAAUCUAUUUAGAAGAGCUAAUACCAGCAACUAGAAGUGUGAAGUCACUACAAGGUGGAAGCACUUUGUCAUUUUGAUGCUGUUGAUCAAGACUACAUCACAUUAUACUAUGAGAUUUAUUUUGAUUAAUUCCACGUUUGUUAGGACGAUCAGAUCUUUCAGUUUUAAAUUUUCUGCAUUUUCACAUAAUGAUGUGAAUGGUUAUACAUGUAGGAAUAAUGUAUAACCUGGUGUAAAUCAUGAAUAAUUUUUUCCGGAAAUGAUAAAAUAAUUAUUUCACGUUUUUUGCUGAGCCGUCUGUUUAUCACAGCUAGCUCGCCAAAUGAGGCUUGACAUUAAUAUUUUGGCAUGGUAUCUACAUGGUUACUUUUAAGAGAUGCUGCUUAUCAGAAUCUGCUAACUGUUCAGCUAUAUUUAUUAGAUUGCACUGCAAUGAUCCCAGCAAGACAACUGUGUUUGACCCCCAAAAAAGCAAUAAUAAUGAUCUCAUGUAGAUGGAAAAUUGUGAUCUGUGUGCUUUUUACCAGUAAAAUCAUUUAGACAUGCAUACAUGUGUGUGGUGUGUAUGAGUGUGCACAAUCAAAUGAUCUCUCUGUCUUGAGAGAGAGAGAGAGAGAAAAAAAAAGAGAGAGCAGUCAUAAACUCUUCAUGUAACAGAAUUGUACAGAUUGGUGGCAGUUGUAGACAGAAAUGGUAAGAAGAAGUGAGUUUAAAUUUCUUACUUUUCUUUAAACAUGGGUUUGGUGCAAUUCACAGUAAAAAUCAGUAUUUGUUUAGUUAUGGCUUGAAGGUCCCAACUGGAAAGGGACGCCCAGAACCGGGUCCGAUGGUAGGGUGUGGAUGCAGCCCUAUGCUCCUCUGGGGGCGAUUAAGAACAAGAAAAAGAAGAAGAAUGGCUUGAAGUGUCACAUAUCUCUCCUCUCUGUUUUUUUCUCUUGUUCAGAUUCAACAUUAUUUAUUGCUGAAGACUGUUUCUAAGCCAUAAUCUUGUUGCCUAUAACUCAUGAAAGAAUUGUUGAAAUGGAUCUGUAGAGCAUGUUUAAAAGAAUGUGAUAUUUGACUUGUUAUUUAUUUUACUGUUCAAGGCAGCACAAAUAAGAUGUGCAAAUAGCAUGCAAACAGGCUAAAAUGUAAUUAUUUAUUGUUAGUGUAAGCUGCUUUUUUACUUUUUCGUAUAAGCACAAUCAAAUUAUGCUCUUGUGUCAUAUAAAUAAACUAAUAUUAUCAUUUUUCAUGCAGUGGUAUUAUAUACAUACUGGUUUUACUGACAAAUGAAUAUUUUAUCUUCUAGAUUGUUGGAAUGGUUUUCAUUUGUUUCUAGUUUUAUGCAAUAAGUAGUGCUACAUUGUGUAAAUGUGAGCCUUCUCAAAAGAAAAUUAUUAGCACUAGGAUGCCAGCUUUUUUAAAGAUUUCCUGAAGUUCAGAGAAGAUAAAACUGUAAUCUCAGGAAUAUUUAGAAGGAAGCUUAUUAACUCCCAUGAAAGUAUCUUUCAUGGAAGCCUGGAUUUAGGAGAGUGGUUUGCUUGUCUAUGCUUGUCAGUGUUAAAAUUGGUGGCUUACACUUAAUCCACAUACUGUACCAUAGCAGCUUAGCAGAUUGAGAUGAGCUUAGUGAAGAGAACUGCUUUGUACUGCAAUUUCAAAUGUUUCAUUUCCAGCAUGUGGCUUGCUCUUUUUUGUACUAAGAAAUGGAGGAUUUGCAAAGAA
Molecule: long non-coding RNA, 3518 nt
Organism: Pomacea canaliculata
Lineage: Eukaryota; Metazoa; Mollusca; Gastropoda; Architaenioglossa; Ampullariidae
Exons: 3
Source: RefSeq, a predicted model, not a curated record